UGGAGCAUGUGGUUUAAUUCGAAGAUACACGAAGAACCUUACCUGGCCUUGACAUGGUAGGAACCCUGUAGAGAUACGGGGGUGCUAGCUUGCUAGAGCCUACACACAGGUGCUGCACGGCUGUCGUCAGCUCGUGUCGUGAGAUGUUGGGUUAAGUCCCGCAACGAGCGCAACCCUCGUCCUUAGUUGCUAACGGUUCGGCCGAGCACUCUAGGGAGACUGCCUUCGCAAGGAGGAGGAAGGUGAGGACGACGUCAAGUCAUCAUGGCCCUUACGGCCAGGGCUACACACGUGCUACAAUGGGGCGUACAGAGAGCUGCGAUACCGCGAGGUGGAGCCAAUCUCUUAAAGCGUCUCUCAGUUCGGAUUGUUCUCUGCAACUCGAGAACAUGAAGCUGGAAUCACUAGUAAUCGCAGAUCAGCUAUGCUGCGGUGAAUACGUUCCCGGGUCUU
RNAcentral lists this ribosomal RNA (453 nucleotides) under uncultured Sulfuricurvum sp. RNAcentral's name for it is "bacterial SSU rRNA". It matches the Rfam family "Bacterial small subunit ribosomal RNA", at positions 933 to 1382 of the family's 1533-position model. Lineage: Bacteria; Pseudomonadati; Campylobacterota; Epsilonproteobacteria; Campylobacterales; Sulfurimonadaceae. The record is from RNAcentral.